Molecule: microRNA, 23 nt
Filed under: Dasypus novemcinctus (nine-banded armadillo)
Lineage: Eukaryota; Metazoa; Chordata; Mammalia; Cingulata; Dasypodidae
Also listed under: 1 other name
Description: dno-miR-802-3p
Gene: dno-miR-802-3p
Source: miRBase by way of RNAcentral
AAGGAGAAUCUUUGUCACUUGGU